UAAUACGUAGGUGGCAAGCGUUGUCCGGAUUUAUUGGGUUUAAAGGGUGCGUAGGCGGUCUAUUAAGUCAGUGGUGAAAUACUCUAGCUCAACUAGAGGGGUGCCAUUGAUACUGAUGGACUUGAGUACAGAUGAGGUAGGCGGAAUUGACGGUGUAGCGGUGAAAUGCUUAGAUAUCGUCAAGAACACCUAUAGCGAAGGCAGCUUACUAGGCUGUAACUGACGCUGAGGCACGAAAGUGUGGGGAUCAAACAGGAUUAGAUACCCUGGUAGUCCACACUGUAAACGUUGAUUACUCGCUGUGUGCGAUAUACAGUACGCGGCCAAGCGAAAGCGAUAAGUAAUCCACCUGGGGAGUACGCCGGCAACGGU
RNAcentral lists this ribosomal RNA (372 nucleotides) under uncultured bacterium. RNAcentral describes it as "bacterial SSU rRNA". It matches the Rfam family "Bacterial small subunit ribosomal RNA", at positions 521 to 895 of the family's 1533-position model. The record is from RNAcentral.